RNAcentral lists this ribosomal RNA (497 nucleotides) under uncultured bacterium. RNAcentral's name for it is "partial 16S ribosomal RNA". It matches the Rfam family "Bacterial small subunit ribosomal RNA", at positions 28 to 507 of the family's 1533-position model. The record is from RNAcentral.
GACGAACGCUGGCGGCGUGCCUAAUACAUGCAAGUUGAGCGAUGAAGCUUGGUGCUUGCACCAAUUUGAAGAGCAGCGAACGGGUGAGUAACGCGUGGGGAAUCUGCCUUUGAGCGGGGGACAACAUUUGGAAACGAAUGCUAAUACCGCAUAACAACUUUAAACAUAAGUUUUAAGUUUGAAAGAUGCAAUUGCAUCACUCAAAGAUGAUCCCGCGUUGUAUUAGCUAGUUGGUGAGGUAAAGGCUCACCAAGGCGAUGAUACAUAGCCGACCUGAGAGGGUGAUCGGCCACAUUGGGACUGAGACACGGCCCAAACUCCUACGGGAGGCAGCAGUAGGGAAUCUUCGGCAAUGGACGAAAGUCUGACCGAGCAACGCCGCGUGAGUGAAGAAGGUUUCCGGAUCGUAAAACUCUGUUGGUAGAGAAGAACGUUGGUGAGAGUGGAAAGCUCAUCAAGUGACGGUAACUACCCAGAAAGGGACGGCUAACUACGUG